AGUGGCCAUGAUAUUGUAAUGAAAAUAUUUUUUCUUAUCGUCAGCCUUCUUCAGAAUCUAUUUCUUGGACUUAGCCUCGCUCUUUUACUUCUUCAUAGGCUUCUUUUUUUUUAGAGAAGAUUUUCUCUUAGAAAAAAUUUGCUCCAUAGUUAGAAUCAUAUCUCUUAAACUUUUUAAGAUGCCCUCAGCUGUCACCAACAU
Molecule: long non-coding RNA, 201 nt
Filed under: Elaeis guineensis (African oil palm)
Lineage: Eukaryota; Viridiplantae; Streptophyta; Magnoliopsida; Arecales; Arecaceae
Description: long non-coding RNA (EGUI_LNC021627)
Source: RNAcentral